CUUUCCUAUAAUCCUACGAUUGCCGCAUCAUCACCACCACUAGAAACCGUUGCCGCCACCACCAUAGCCACCAAUUGAUGUUGCUCCACAAUAGCCACCGGCGACUGUUGCCGCCACCAUGACUGUCAUGCCUUCUCUGCACACACCAUUUGUUCGUUCAAGAGGUUGCUUCUUAAUUAUCUUAAUCAUUAAUCAGCAAUUCUAAAUCUUUAAGAUUUUGGUGCCUCCGUUGUUGCUUAGGAUACUUGGAUUUUAAAAUUGCUAUACAUUUUUUGCCUAAGUUUUUUAUUAUGGUAUGUACGAUCUUCAGUUUUCUUAGGGUUUUUUUUUUGCAUAAUGGUCUUUGACAUGACCAACCUCAUACAUAAGGAUGUUGCAACUUUGGUUUGAUAAAUAUUGAAUAAGCUCUUAGUUUUUGAAAAGUGAAAUUCCCAUAGCACUUUAUACUUUUUCAAACAUUUAGUUUUUGAAAAGGGAAUGCUUUCUCUAGCAUUUGAAGACUUAAUGAAGCAACUAUGCACACACUGUGGCACCAAGAGCAUUUAAAUCAAGGUUUGUUGGUUCCUUGGUUUUUCCCUUGAAUUUUGUGGCAACAUGCGUAUUUUUUAUUGUAUUUCUGUUAAUACAAUGUUGAAGUUAAAAAAAUAUAUAUAUAUAUUGCAUGAAUAUUCUAAGGAUUAAUUGAACUAAUGUUGGUAUGAUAUAAAUUCUUUUAGAUUUUUGGUAUCCUUAACGUGAGCUAUUCACAUCUAGAUUAGAUUUCUCUACAUUAAUUUUCAUUCAUAGAAUGUUUGUUGCAUAUUUAUAUUACAGGAUGAUAUUGGAAUAAAUAAAAGCUUAUAUGAAUUAGCUGGAAGUUAUCUGAGACAUGAAUUCUUUAAAUC
RNAcentral lists this long non-coding RNA (884 nucleotides) under Lactuca sativa (garden lettuce). RNAcentral describes it as "long non-coding RNA (LSAT_LNC001284)". The record is from RNAcentral. Lineage: Eukaryota; Viridiplantae; Streptophyta; Magnoliopsida; Asterales; Asteraceae.